RNAcentral lists this long non-coding RNA (208 nucleotides) under Sinocyclocheilus grahami. RNAcentral describes it as "lncRNA (ENSSGRG00000034208.1)". The record is from RNAcentral. Lineage: Eukaryota; Metazoa; Chordata; Actinopteri; Cypriniformes; Cyprinidae.
AUUUUUGUGUGUGUGGUUUUGUCAUCCACAGUUCAUGGCAUAAAAAGAAUGGUGACGUUUCUAACUACAUCAAUGACUUUGCUGCACAUUUGAGCUCUAGCAGCCAGUGGUGGCCAGCUGCCCAUUUCCAGUCUUGAGGGCAGCAGCAAGGUGUUAAUUGGGGGUUCUGGAGGCCAAGGAGCAGGUCUCCCCUCUUCCCUCUUUCUCA